RNAcentral lists this ribosomal RNA (429 nucleotides) under Actinomycetes bacterium. RNAcentral describes it as "Actinobacteria bacterium partial 16S ribosomal RNA". It matches the Rfam family "Bacterial small subunit ribosomal RNA", at positions 355 to 776 of the family's 1533-position model. Lineage: Bacteria; Bacillati; Actinomycetota; Actinomycetes. The record is from RNAcentral.
UAGGGAAUCUUCCGCAAUGGGCGAAAGCCUGACGGAGCAACGCCGCGUGAGUGAUGAAGGUCUUCGGAUCGUAAAACUCUGUUAUUAGGGAAGAACAAAUGUGUAAGUAACUAUGCACGUCUUGACGGUACCUAAUCAGAAAGCCACGGCUAACUACGUGCCAGCAGCCGCGGUAAUACGUAGGUGGCAAGCGUUAUCCGGAAUUAUUGGGCGUAAAGCGCGCGUAGGCGGGUUUUUAAGUCUGAUGUGAAAGCCCACGGCUCAACCGUGGAGGGUCAUUGGAAACUGGAAAACUUGAGUGCAGAAGAGGAAAGUGGAAUUCCAUGUGUAGCGGUGAAAUGCGCAGAGAUAUGGGGGAACCCCAGUGGCGAAGGCGACUUUCUGGUCUGUCACUGACGCUGAUGUGCGAAAGCGUGGGGAUCAAACAGG